GACGAACGCUGGCGGCGUGCUUAACACAUGCAAGUCGAACGAUGAAGCCUAGCUUGCUAGGUGGAUUAGUGGCGAACGGGUGAGUAAUACGUGAGUAACCUACCUUUAACUCUGGGAUAAGCCUGGGAAACUGGGUCUAAUACCGGAUACGACCAAUCUCCGCAUGGAGUGUUGGUGGAAAGCGUUAUGUAGUGGUUAUAGAUGGGCUCACGGCCUAUCAGCUUGUUGGUGAGGUAACGGCUCACCAAGGCGACGACGGGUAGCCGGCCUGAGAGGGUGACCGGCCACACUGGGACUGAGACACGGCCCAGACUCCUACGGGAGGCAGCAGUGGGGAAUAUUGCACAAUGGGCGCAAGCCUGAUGCAGCGACGCCGCGUGAGGGAUGAAGGCCUUCGGGUUGUAAACCUCUUUCGUCAGGGAACAAGGCACUGCUUUUGGUGGUGUUGAGGGUACCUGGAUAAGAAGCGCCGGCUAACUACGUGCCAGCAGCCGCGGUAAUACGUAGGGCGCAAGCGUUGUCCGGAAUUAUUGGGCGUAAAGAGCUCGUAGGCGGCUGGUCGCGUCUGUCGUGAAAACUUCCGGCUCAACCGGGGGCUUGCGGUGGGUACGGGCCGGCUAGAGUGCGGUAGGGGUAACUGGAACUCCUGGUGUAGCGGUGGAAUGCGCAGAUAUCAGGAAGAACACCGAUGGCGAAGGCAGGUUACUGGGCCGUUACUGACGCUGAGGAGCGAAAGCGUGGGGAGCGAACAGG
RNAcentral lists this ribosomal RNA (753 nucleotides) under Rothia mucilaginosa. Its description in RNAcentral is "bacterial SSU rRNA". It matches the Rfam family "Bacterial small subunit ribosomal RNA", at positions 28 to 776 of the family's 1533-position model. Lineage: Bacteria; Bacillati; Actinomycetota; Actinomycetes; Micrococcales; Micrococcaceae. The record is from RNAcentral.